AAAAAGGCAUGGAUCCAAGCGUCCUGUUUUAUGUCCCCCCUUCAAGCGACCGUGACUAAUGAAGACAGGUAUUACGACAAAAGGGACCUCCGCAUAGUUACUGCCCUAUUUAGCAUGCAGCCAAAGAUCAGGAAGGAAAGGGGAGAUGCACAGAAUGAAGGAAAGGAGGUAGCGUGUGAUCUCUUGACAAAAGGGGAACAAUCAUUCAUGGAGUCAAAAUGGAGUGGGAGUGUAUCUGUAAAGGCAGAGAGAUGGGAGAGAUGGAGGGAAAGGAACUGGGCAUGCAAGAGGCAAAGAUGAAGUCCUUCAAAAAGGCUAGUGAAAAUCAAGCACUCCUAGGUAUGAUUAAUUCUGCACUCCACAAGAGUGAAACUAUUCCCCCCUGCCAUUUCUGUGACAGGCGCUCCCAGAGGCCCCCAUCACUGCUAAAGCUCCAUUAUCUGAGGCACUGCACUGAUACAUAAAUGACAUGGUUCCUGCCACAAGGGCCUUGCAGUUUAACAUGAGCCGAAAUGCAAUAAAGGAAUGUAAUAUACAGAAUAAAGGACCAGGGGAGGAAGGACAGCCAAAACGUUGCAAGCCUGCAUUGCAGCCUGUGUGUGUUAUGCAACUUCACAGGUAUAAUCAUGUAGCUAAUACAAGAAUAAUGUUCAUACACAGUAGUGACCCACUCUCCAUCUCAGGCACUUCCAUUUCUUUUUUUUUUUUCCCAUUGAAGAACCAAGAAAAAUCACACACACUUUUAACCUUUUGCCCGAACAGCUGUUGGUGGUAGUAGUUAGGGCAGCAGGCUAACACAGUAAUAGCUGGAGCAAAAGGCAUAUGAGCUGCUGGAGGUCAUAGCCCUUUGACUUGUAACAUCUUGUGAGACCUGGACAUGUACAAGCUUCCCUCUGACCCGAAGUGGAAUUGCCUAUGUCUGUCCCUGCGCAGCCCCUGCACUGCCCUGCAUGGUUCCAGGGCGACUCUUUGUAAGUGAGCUGGGUACAGAAGUUCUUUUUCAGUUGGAUCAGUUCUCCCAGCUCCCAGUGAAGGCACAGAAAUACCCUGGCCAGCCAGUGUGGGAAGGAGCACCAAGGCCAGGCAGAGAGACAGUGGGACUUACACAAGCUGCUGGAGGCCUUAGGUUUCAAAAGGGAAGUAUUGGCCUCAGCUGCGCUUCUGCAAAGCAGGUGGUUUUACUAUUAGGUGCUCAAAUUUAGACACAGUUUCAGUUUCCUAGGAUGGCAUGCCCUAAGCCAGCAGCUCACCUCCACCAAAAUGAGGAGGCCCUGUUCCCAGCCAUGCAAUCCCAUCAUCUUUUUUAUCAGCUCUGCUACUUGUGAAUAAAUGAAGCCCUUCGCUCACCACUGCUAUUCACUGACCAAGCAGAAACAUGACCGAGAAGGAAACAGCUGCCUGAUAUUUUCUCUGCUGGGUUAGUGAGUUGAAUCAGCUUACAGGCAAGUUCACAAAGCUCCAGAGCUACCCUAAGUGAGACAGCAGGGUCUUUGGCUAGGAAGAGGUCUGGGUUAGAGAAGGAAAAGGAGGAAAAGGAACAAGACUUCCCCCUUAUGGCAAGAGGAAGCCAUCAGAUAUGCUUAGGUACUUACAACUGCAACUUUAGAGGUCAAUUUACCUGUGUUACCCCAGGAUACACAAACUGCAUAGGAACAGGCAGCUCUGCAGUUUGCUGCAAUCCCUAAAUUCAUUCCCAUUCCCAUUUUAUAUAAUACUAGUGUGGUCCUAGUUCCACAUAUCUUAUUCAUGCAGAAAUACUCAUUAAAGAAGUUUUAUUAAGUAACUGGAGGAAAAUCUAUCUUCUCAGCCUGCAGGUUUCUGUGGUUUGGGGAAACUGAUGUAUCUUUUGAAGAUAUGUUGAGGUAUAUCUCCUAAUUCUCAUUUGUGUAUAGUAUAAGCAAACCCAUUAUAAAAGAGAAUGCAACUUUAAAGUACACAAGUGUAAAGUUCCCAUGGGUAACUAAUGCAGUAAGUACCGUGGAUUUAAACAAGCCCUUCCAGUGUCCCUCACCCAUGCCAGUUUGUGUGGUUUAAUGUGCUCUAUCUGCGUUAAGACAGGGGAGAAGCUCAUCCUUGCUCAGCUCCCUCUCCCUGCACACUGGAAAAAACUUGGAAUAAACUGAUGUGUGUUCCUU
Molecule: long non-coding RNA, 2135 nt
Organism: Neopsephotus bourkii (Bourke's parrot)
Lineage: Eukaryota; Metazoa; Chordata; Aves; Psittaciformes; Psittacidae
Exons: 2
Source: RefSeq, a predicted model, not a curated record